Molecule: long non-coding RNA, 621 nt
Organism: Oncorhynchus keta (chum salmon)
Lineage: Eukaryota; Metazoa; Chordata; Actinopteri; Salmoniformes; Salmonidae
Exons: 4
Source: RefSeq, a predicted model, not a curated record
CACAGCCUAUAACAACAACAACAUGCUCAGAUGAAUAACACUCACCCAUACCUAUAAACGUUAUGCAAACGUAUGCAACAUUUAGUACAUCCAUGUUUUUGAUUGCUUCAUCAAACACCACCAUUAUACUUACAGAGUGCUCUGGUGCAGGUGGUUGGAAGUCUGUGUCUGUAUCGGUUUGCAUUGCUUCAUCAAACACCACCAUUAUACUUACAGAGUGCUCUGGUGCAGGUGGUUGGAAGUCUGUGUCUGUAUCGGUUUGCAUUGCUUCAUCAAACACCACCAUUAUACUUACAGAGUGCUCUGGUGCAGGUGGUUGGAAGUCUGUGUCUGUAUCGGUUUGCAUUGCUUCAUCAAACACCACCAUUAUACUUACAGAGUGCUCUGGUGCAGGUGGUUGGAAGUCUGUGUCUGUAUCGGUUUGCAUUGCUUCAUCAAACACCACCAUUAUACUUACAGAGUGCUCUGGUGCAGGUGGUUGGAAGUCUGUGUCUGUAUCGGGUUGCAUUGCUUCAUCAAACACCACCAUUAUACUUACAGAGUGCUCUGGUGCAGGUGGUUGGAAGUCUGUGUCUGUAUCGGUUUGCAUUGCUUCAUCAAACACCACCAUUAUACUUACAG